This 161-nucleotide ribosomal RNA is filed under the name uncultured bacterium. Its description in RNAcentral is "partial 16S rRNA". It matches the Rfam family "Bacterial small subunit ribosomal RNA", at positions 358 to 511 of the family's 1533-position model. The record is from RNAcentral.
GGAAUCUUCCACAAUGGGCGCAAGCCUGAUGGAGCAACGCCGCGUGAGUGAAGAAGGUCUUCGGAUCGUAAAACUCUGUUGUUAGAGAAGAACACGAGUGAGAGUAACUGUUCAUUCGAUGACGGUAUCUAACCAGCAAGUCACGGCUAACUACGUGCUAG